This 468-nucleotide ribosomal RNA is filed under the name uncultured bacterium. RNAcentral's name for it is "partial 16S ribosomal RNA". It matches the Rfam family "Bacterial small subunit ribosomal RNA", at positions 28 to 507 of the family's 1533-position model. The record is from RNAcentral.
GACGAACGCUGGCGGCGUGCUUAACACAUGCAAGUCGAACGGAAAGGCCCUGCUUUUGUGGGGUGCUCGAGUGGCGAACGGGUGAGUAACACGUGAGUAACCUGCCCUUGACUUUGGGAUAACUUCAGGAAACUGGGGCUAAUACCGGAUAGGAGCUCCUGCUGCAUGGUGGGGGUUGGAAAGUUUCGGCGGUUGGGGAUGGACUCGCGGCUUAUCAGCUUGUUGGUGGGGUAGUGGCUUACCAAGGCUUUGACGGGUAGCCGGCCUGAGAGGGUGACCGGCGACAUUGGGACUGAGAUACGGACCAGACUGCUACGGGAGGCAGCAGGGGGGAAUAUGGCGCAAUGGGCGGAAGCCUGAGGCAGCAACGCCGCGUGCGGGAUGACGGCCUUCGGGUUGUAAACCGCUUUCGCCUGUGACGAAGCGUGAGUGACGGUAAUGGGUAAAGAAGCACCGGCUAACUACGUG